GUGAUCAUAAUUUCGACCUAAAACCUUGGACUGUGACUCCAAAAACGAGAACUGCAACACGUCUCUGGUCACC
Molecule: transfer RNA, 73 nt
Filed under: Sphaerodactylus elegans
Lineage: Eukaryota; Metazoa; Chordata; Lepidosauria; Squamata; Sphaerodactylidae
Description: tRNA-His
Source: RNAcentral